CUAGUUUAUGAAUCAAAUCUAGCUAAAAGUUACUACAUUUGAAGCAUUUUACUGGCGAUUUGGUAGAUCUAUCAAUGUGCCCGUACUUCGUAGGCUGUGUGAUGAAAUCUUUGAAAUCUGUGACACGUGACGUUAUUUGUCGAAAUUUCGCUAUAAUCAAAAAUCUAAAUCGAAUUUGAAAAUUUUACAGAGGGAAACUAGAUUUUGAUAUCUAAAAACGGAAAUUUUAAAAUUUGUAUGCGAUUUGACAGAUUUUUUAAUGGGGACAUUAAAUAUACAUGAUGGAGAUUGGGCCAUAGUAUUUUUUUUAUAAAUCGAUGAACUCCAAGCUGCAUACACGAAGAAUCAAGACUUCUCAUUUCUAAAAAUUGAAGUAUUAAAUAGGGUGAAUAGGGGUUAAAUGGCAUUAAAAAAAAAUAUUUAUUUCUAAACGAU
Episyrphus balteatus (marmalade hoverfly) is the source of this 435-nucleotide long non-coding RNA. RefSeq lists it as uncharacterized. The transcript has 3 exons. NCBI's taxonomy places the organism in Eukaryota, Metazoa, Arthropoda, Insecta, Diptera, Syrphidae. The record is from RefSeq and is a predicted model, not a curated record.